AUUGAACGCUGGCGGCAGGCCUAACACAUGCAAGUCGAACGGUAACAGGAAGAAGCUUGCUUCUUUGCUGACGAGUGGCGGACGGGUGAGUCAUGUCUGGGAAACUGCCUGAUGGAGGGGGAUAACUACUGGAAACGGUAGCUAAUACCGCAUAACGUCGCAAGACCAAAGAGGGGGACCUUCGGGCCUCUUGCCAUCGGAUGUGCCCAGAUGGGAUUAGCUAGUAGGUGGGGUAACGGCUCACCUAGGCGACGAUCCCUAGCUGGUCUGAGAGGAUGACCAGCCACACUGGAACUGAGACACGGUCCAGACUCCUACGGGAGGCAGCAGUGGGGAAUAUUGCACAAUGGGCGAAAGCCUGAUGCAGCCAUGCCGCGGGUAUGAAGAAGGCCUUCGGGUUGUAAAGUACUUUCAGCGGGGAGGAAGGGAGUAAAGUUAAUACCUUUGCUCAUUGACGUUACCCGCAGAAGAAGCACCGGCUAACUCCGUG
RNAcentral lists this ribosomal RNA (490 nucleotides) under uncultured bacterium. RNAcentral describes it as "partial 16S ribosomal RNA". It matches the Rfam family "Bacterial small subunit ribosomal RNA", at positions 30 to 507 of the family's 1533-position model. The record is from RNAcentral.